UUUUCCGUAUUUGCAUUUUCAAUGAAAAAAAUAUAUGAUUGCUAUUAUAAAAUGGAAACACAUUAAUUAAAAAUAUAAAACAUCAUCCAAAUACAUUAAGUAUAAAUUCAACACCUUAGUCUCAAAAUAUAACUUAAUAAAACACUAAAGAGUCUUCAAAUAGAUUUAACUUGUAUGGACUGUGCUGCUGCUCUCCAAAACCUGUUAAAAAUAAUAAAUUAAGUCAAAUUAGUUUUAUAUUGCAAAGUCAAUAUACAUGAACAAAUUUAAAAAAAAAUUAUAACAAAAAUUAUAUCAUAUUUACCUCAUCAUCAGAAUCAGAUUCCCCAAAAGAUUGCAGUCGCUUAUCUUUAAAAUCUAAAUAUUGCUUUGGUCCAGUAAUACCA
This 386-nucleotide long non-coding RNA is filed under the name Lotus japonicus. RNAcentral describes it as "long non-coding RNA (LJAP_LNC001181)". Lineage: Eukaryota; Viridiplantae; Streptophyta; Magnoliopsida; Fabales; Fabaceae. The record is from RNAcentral.